Molecule: ribosomal RNA, 497 nt
Filed under: uncultured bacterium
Lineage: Bacteria
Description: partial 16S ribosomal RNA
Rfam family: Bacterial small subunit ribosomal RNA
Source: RNAcentral
GAUGAACGCUGGCGGCGUGCCUAAUACAUGCCAGUCGAGCGAACAGACGAGGAGCUUGCUCCUUCGACGUUAGCGGCGGACGGGUGAGUAAAACGUAGGUAACCUACCUAUAAGACUGGGAUAACUUCGGGAAACCGGAGCUAAUACCGGAUAAUAUUUCGAACCGCAUGGUUCGAUAGUGAAAGAUGGCUUUGCUAUCACUUAUAGAUGGACCUGCGCCGUAUUAGCUAGUUGGUAAGGUAACGGCUUACCAAGGCAACGAUACGUAGCCGACCUGAGAGGGGGAUCGGCCACACUAGAACUGAGACACGGUCCAGGCGCCUACGGGAGGCAGCAGUAGGGAAUCUUCGGCAGUGGGCGAGAAGCUGACGGAGCAAGGCCGCGUGAGUGAUGAAGGUCUUCGGAUCGUAAAACUCCGUUAUUAGGGGAGAACGAACGUGUAAGUAGCUGUGCACGACUUGACGGUACCUAAUCAGAAAGCCACGGCUAACUACGUG